UCCCUGGUGGUCUAGUGGCUAAGACUCCAUGCUCCUAACUCAGGGGGCCUGGGUUCGAUCCCUAGUCAGGAAA
Molecule: transfer RNA, 73 nt
Organism: Ovis aries (sheep)
Lineage: Eukaryota; Metazoa; Chordata; Mammalia; Artiodactyla; Bovidae
Rfam family: tRNA
About the family: Transfer RNA (tRNA) molecules are approximately 80 nucleotides in length. Their secondary structure includes four short double-helical elements and three loops (D, anti-codon, and T loops).
Source: Rfam